This 274-nucleotide ribosomal RNA is filed under the name uncultured bacterium. Its description in RNAcentral is "partial 16S ribosomal RNA". It matches the Rfam family "Bacterial small subunit ribosomal RNA", at positions 523 to 796 of the family's 1533-position model. The record is from RNAcentral.
AUACGGAGGGGGCUAGCGUUGUUCGGAAUUACUGGGCGUAAAGCGUACGUAGGCGGACUGAUCAGUUGGGGGUGAAAUCCCAGGGCUUAACCCUGGAACUGCCUUCAAUACUGUCAGUCUUGAGAUUGGAAGAGGUGAGUGGAAUUCCUAGUGUAGAGGUGAAAUUCAUAGAUAUUAGGAGGAACACCAGUGGCGAAGGCGGCUCACUGGUCCAAUACUGACGCUGAGGUACGAAAGCGUGGGGAGCAAACAGGAUUAGAUACCCGAGUAGUCC